UGGCUCAGCGAUAGAGCGCUUGCCUUGCAUGCAGGAGGCUUUGGGUUCAAUUCCUCA
RNAcentral lists this transfer RNA (57 nucleotides) under Dipodomys ordii (Ord's kangaroo rat). It matches the Rfam family "tRNA", at positions 8 to 63 of the family's 71-position model. Rfam says of the family: Transfer RNA (tRNA) molecules are approximately 80 nucleotides in length. Their secondary structure includes four short double-helical elements and three loops (D, anti-codon, and T loops). The record is from Rfam by way of RNAcentral. Lineage: Eukaryota; Metazoa; Chordata; Mammalia; Rodentia; Heteromyidae.